This is a long non-coding RNA of Cyprinodon tularosa, 852 nucleotides long. RefSeq lists it as uncharacterized. The transcript is spliced from 3 exons. The record is from RefSeq and is a predicted model, not a curated record. NCBI's taxonomy places the organism in Eukaryota, Metazoa, Chordata, Actinopteri, Cyprinodontiformes, Cyprinodontidae.
UCAGACCUACUGCAGGCAGAAGCACACAGACCUGCCCUCCAUCCUAAACUCUGAGCAACAGAACCAACUUAUGGACACUCUUACAUCUGCUGGACACAGCUCUGAUGUCUGGAUUGGUCUGUUUAGUAAAAUCCACUGGAAAUGGUCUGAUGGUUACACUGGGAGUGGAGCGGACUACAGAUGCUGGAGUACUUCAAAUCCACCUGGUUUUAGUUAUUCUGAUGAGUUAUGCGUUGUAUCAUACCAGAGUGGUACAUGGUUUGAUGCUCAGUGUUCAAACAAUCGUCCAUUUUUAUGUUACAAUGGUUCACAGUUGGAUCCUGAAUUUGUUUAUGUGAAUACACUGAUGAGUUGGUCCAGUGCUCAGAUGUACUGCAGAGAGAACUUUACUGACCUGGCGACCAUAACAAGUUACACACAGAACCAGCGAGUCAAGAGCUUGAUACCUCCUAAUCAUUAUCCAUGGAUUGGUCUAUAUAGAGAUCCAGAUCAUCACUGGUCUGAUGGGAGAAGCAUCCUCUUUACCAACUGGGAUUCAGGUCUUAAUCGGAUUGGCUCAAUGACGGUCAUAUGCGGAGCUACAUCUACUGGGAGAUCAGGGAGAUGGAAGUUUUUACCCUGUGAAACAAAAUUACCAUUUGUUUGUUAUGGUGCUCCUGUCAUAAAACAGGUGGUGAGACUCAGACUGCAUGUAGACGACUCGGUGGAUCUGAAUGACCCUGUUCUAAGAGAGAAUAUCCUGAGAGAGGCAAGUUUGAAAUUAUGACAGUUUGUAUCGAAAUCAAUAUUUAACUUUGAUAUUAAUAUUCAAAAAUCUAUAUUUGUAUGUAUUCUAAUGUUGUCCUGCAGCUC